RNAcentral lists this ribosomal RNA (497 nucleotides) under uncultured bacterium. RNAcentral describes it as "partial 16S ribosomal RNA". It matches the Rfam family "Bacterial small subunit ribosomal RNA", at positions 28 to 507 of the family's 1533-position model. The record is from RNAcentral.
GAUGAACGCUGGCGGCGUGCCUAAUACAUGCAAGUCGAGCGAACAGACGAGGAGCUUGCUCCUCUGACGUUAGCGGCGGACGGGUGAGUAACACGUGGAUAACCUACCUAUAAGACUGGGAUAACUUCGGGAAACCGGAGCUAAUACCGGAUAAUAUAUUGAACCGCAUGGUUCAAUAGUGAAAGACGGUUUUGCUUUCACUUAUCGAUGGAUCCGCGCCGCAUUAGCUAGUUGGUAAGGUAACGGCUUACCAAGGCAACGAUGCGUAGCCGACCUGAGAGAGUGAUCGGCCACACUGGAACUGAGACACGGGCCAGACUCCUACGGGAGGCAGCAGUAGGGAAUCUUCCGCAAUGGGCGAAAGCCUGACGGAGCAACGCCGCGUGAGUGAUGAAGGUCUUCGGAUCGUAAAACUCUGUUAUUAGGGAAGAACAAAUGUGUAAGUAACUAUGCACGUCUUGACGGUACCUAAUCAGAAAGCCACGGCUAACUACGUG